GUGAGGAACAGCUGAGCUGAGCUGGUGAAGCUGCUGAAGACAUUUUACUGUCAAACACCUUAUCUGCCUGUUCUGUCUGCGUUUGGGUCCAGUCCCUGUUUUUCUGCAUAACCCACCGUGACACUUACGUUUACUUUGUGCCUCUGGUUGUUUGUGUGGUUCUGAUUGUCCUGCUGUUGGCUGGUUAUCUGCUGCUGCUCUUCAAAUGGAUGAAAAACAGAAACCUCAGAUCUUCAAAAAGCAGAAAUGUGGAGUUAUCUGGCGCCUCCAAGAACAGGACUCCAGUCUCCACUGGUGAAGACUCCACAUACCAGAGCCUCGAUCCUGCCAGCAGGGACCAGGACCAGAUCUACUCCUCACUCACUUAACCUUACAUAACUCCCAGAAAACCACAAAUAGUUGAAUCCUCACACAAACACAAGCUAAGAUCGUUUAGAAAGUGCAAGGAAACGAUUAACUAUUUAGAUGUACAUUUAUACAUAUGAUUUAGUCAUGUACUAAUAGUGAGUGUAUAAAUAAAUAUGUACAAACAUUUAUUGAUAUUUUUAAUUAAUGUUUAGAGGUGCAGAAGGUUUUGCAUUGUAUGUUCAAUUGUUACUGACUGCAGCCUCAUUGAGCACAUUGUGAAAGAAUGAAUGAAUGAA
Long non-coding RNA from Micropterus dolomieu (smallmouth bass), 644 nucleotides. RefSeq lists it as uncharacterized. The transcript is spliced from 3 exons. The record is from RefSeq and is a predicted model, not a curated record. Lineage: Eukaryota; Metazoa; Chordata; Actinopteri; Centrarchiformes; Centrarchidae.